This 84-nucleotide transfer RNA is filed under the name Rhodopseudomonas palustris BisB18. RNAcentral describes it as "tRNA-Ser (CGA) (tRNA-Ser-CGA-2-1)". The record is from RNAcentral. Lineage: Bacteria; Pseudomonadati; Pseudomonadota; Alphaproteobacteria; Hyphomicrobiales; Nitrobacteraceae.
GCGCUUAGAUGAUAAUUCGCAACUCGCGCUACUACUACACUACGAAUCUAGGGGUCAGGAGUUCGAAUCUCUUCGGGCGCGCCA